GUCUCCGUGGUCCAGUGGUUACGACGUUCGGCUGUUACGACAUACACAUGUAAAUGUGCAUGCAGACUACCGAGAUAUCGGCGGUUCGAUCCCGCCCGGGGACG
This 104-nucleotide transfer RNA is filed under the name Talaromyces marneffei ATCC 18224. RNAcentral describes it as "Penicillium marneffei ATCC 18224 tRNA". It matches the Rfam family "tRNA". From Rfam's summary of the family: Transfer RNA (tRNA) molecules are approximately 80 nucleotides in length. Lineage: Eukaryota; Fungi; Ascomycota; Eurotiomycetes; Eurotiales; Trichocomaceae. The record is from Rfam by way of RNAcentral.